Molecule: ribosomal RNA, 447 nt
Filed under: uncultured bacterium
Lineage: Bacteria
Description: bacterial SSU rRNA
Rfam family: Bacterial small subunit ribosomal RNA
Source: RNAcentral
UGGGGAAUAUUGGGCAAUGGAGGCAACUCUGACCCAGCCAUGCCGCGUGGGUGACGAAGGUCUUCGGAUUGUAAAGCCCUUUCGGCGGAGACGAUGAUGACGGUACCCGCAGAAGAAGCCCCGGCUAACUUCGUGCCAGCAGCCGCGGUAAUACGAAGGGGGCUAGCGUUGUUCGGAAUUACUGGGCGUAAAGGGCGUGUAGGCGGUCCGCUAAGUCAGGUGUGAAAGGCCUGGGCUCAACCCAGGAAAUGCGCCUGAGACUGACGGACUUGAGUCCGGGAGAGGAUGGUGGAACUCCCAGUGUAGAGGUGAAAUUCGUAGAUAUUGGGAAGAACACCCGUGGCGAAGGCGGCCAUCUGGACCGGUACUGACGCUAAGGCGCGACAGCGUGGGGAGCAAACAGGAUUAGAUACCCUAGUAGUCCCUGAGCGGGCUGGCAAGGCGCAU